AGGAGAAGGAACUAAGAAGCUAACUGAAAGCUCUCAGUUCUUAGAUGGAAUAUGUUGAAAGUUUGAUUUCAAAGUAAAUUGUCAUGGGAAGAUGUUCCUCUAGGUGACUACUGAUACCUCAGUGUUGUCCCCAGAUGAAAUAUGAAAAUCUGCACAUCCUGCAGUGUGAAGUAUUGUUAGUAUAGCAUCUCAGCUUGAAGCAGAAUCAUACAAAAGUGGCCAAAGAGGAAGAUGAAAAAGGAAAUAGCUUCAGAAGAAGCUUCUGGUGAAAGACAAGAUCAAAGUUUUCAGAUCUCAGAUAUAGGAUGAAUGACUACCAGUUUGAAUUAAGCUUGCAUUUAUAUUGUCAAUAUUAGCUGGAGCCAAU
Molecule: long non-coding RNA, 367 nt
Organism: Manis pentadactyla (Chinese pangolin)
Lineage: Eukaryota; Metazoa; Chordata; Mammalia; Pholidota; Manidae
Exons: 4
Source: RefSeq, a predicted model, not a curated record